This 768-nucleotide ribosomal RNA is filed under the name uncultured bacterium. RNAcentral's name for it is "bacterial SSU rRNA". It matches the Rfam family "Bacterial small subunit ribosomal RNA", at positions 42 to 807 of the family's 1533-position model. The record is from RNAcentral.
GCAGGCCUAACACAUGCAAGUCGAGCGGAUGAAGGGAGCUUGCUCCCUGAUUUAGCGGCGGACGGGUGAGUAAUGCCUAGGAACCUGCCUGGUAGUGGGGGAUAACGUUCCGAAAGGAACGCUAAUACCGCAUACGUCCUACGGGAGGAAGCAGGGGACCUUCGGGCCUUGCGCUAUCAGAUGAGCCUAGGUCGGAUUAGCUAGUUGGUGAGGUAAUGGCUCACCAAGGCGACGAUCCGUAACUGGUCUGAGAGGAUGAUCAGUCACACUGGAACUGAGACACGGUCCAGACUCCUACGGGAGGCAGCAGUGGGGAAUAUUGGACAAUGGGCGAAAGCCUGAUCCAGCCAUGCCGCGUGUGUGAAGAAGGUCUUCGGAUUGUAAAGCACUUUAAGUUGGGAGGAAGGGCAGUAAGCUAAUACCUUGCUGUUUUGACGUUACCGACAGAAUAAGCACCGGCUAACUUCGUGCCAGCAGCCGCGGAAAUACGAAGGGUGCAAGCGUUAAUCGGAAUUACUGGGCGUAAAGCGCGCGUAGGUGGUUCGUUAAGUUGGAUGUGAAAGCCCCGGGCUCAACCUGGGAACUGCAUCCAAAACUGGCGAGCUAAGUACGGUAGAGGGUGGUGGAAUUUCCUGUGUAGCGGUGAAAUGCGUAAUAUAGGAAGGAACACCAGUGGCGAAGGCGACCACCUGGACUGAUACUGACACUGAGGUGCGAAAGCGUGGGGAGCAAACAGGAUUAAAUACCCUGGUUAGUCACGCCGUAAAC